AAGCGUUAUCCGGAAUUAUUGGGCGUAAAGAGCUCGUAGGCGGUUUGUCGCGUCUGCCGUGAAAGUCCGGGGCUCAACUCCGGAUCUGCGGUGGGUACGGGCAGACUAGAGUGAUGUAGGGGAGACUGGAAUUCCUGGUGUAGCGGUGAAAUGCGUAGAUAUCAGGAGGAACACCGAUGGCGAAGGCAGGUCUCUGGGCAUUAACUGACGCUGAGGAGCGAAAGCAUGGGGAGCGAACAGG
Molecule: ribosomal RNA, 241 nt
Filed under: uncultured bacterium
Lineage: Bacteria
Description: partial 16S ribosomal RNA
Rfam family: Bacterial small subunit ribosomal RNA
Source: RNAcentral